RNAcentral lists this long non-coding RNA (527 nucleotides) under Homo sapiens (human). RNAcentral describes it as "HSALNT0291539". Lineage: Eukaryota; Metazoa; Chordata; Mammalia; Primates; Hominidae. The record is from RNAcentral.
UAGCUAGCUAGUAACUAGGCCAGCAGAGGAGCCAGGAGUAUUUCCUGUUUCUCUUACCUGCAAUUCCAAGAUGUCCCACUCCCCAAACUGAAAGCCGGACUCCUGGUACCUACCAAUCCUUCCAGCUUCUGGGUGAGCCCCUCCCCAGAAAACAUCUGAGCCUGCUUCAACUUGUGGCUGCAUUCCACCCCUGCCCUCCUGACCCUCCAUAAAUCUACAUGUGCCUUAGUAAGGAAUAAGGGUAGAAAUAUGGCCCCUUAAGUGUGAGUAUCAUCCUCCACAACAGUGGAGACAGCAGCUUAUUCAUCUGAAGACAGAAAACUUGCCUUGGCAGCCUGAGGCCUGGGAGUUAUGUCAGAACUUUCAGAAUGGUUGGCGGUGCCUUUGCCUGUGCUGGUCCAGGUUCUACGUCGACUUGGAGAAGCUUUUUACUGCGUCCACUGAGGGACGCCCAGAUUCCUCAGAGGGAAGUCGGGUGUGCCGGCUGGAGCACAGCAGGGGUCAGAAGGGGCCUGCCUGGCUUCCAC